GAUGGAUAGGGGUUCUGAGAGGAAGGUCCCCCACAUUGGAACUGAGACACGGUCCAAACUCCUACGGGAGGCAGCAGUGAGGAAUAUUGGUCAAUGGGCGCUAGCCUGAACCAGCCAAGUAGCGUGAAGGAUGACUGCCCUAUGGGUUGUAAACUUCUUUUAUAUGGGAAUAAAGUGCAGUAUGUAUACUGCUUUGCAUGUACCUUAUGAAUAAGGAUCGGCUAACUCCGUGCCAGCAGCCGCGGUAAUACGGAGGAUCCGAGCGUUAUCCGGAUUUAUUGGGUUUAAAGGGAGCGUAGGCGGGUUGUUAAGUCAGUUGUGAAAGUUUGCGGCUCAACCGUAAAAUUGCAGUUGAUACUGGCAUCCUUGAGUACAGUAGAGGUAGGCGGAAUUCGUGGUGUAGCGGUGAAAUGCUUAGAUAUCACGAAGAACUCCGAUUGCGAAGGCAGCCUGCUGGACUGUAACUGACGCUGAUGCUCGAAAGUGUGGGUAUCAAACAGGAUUAGAUACCCUGGUAGUCCACACAGUAAACGAUGAAUACUCGCUGUUUGCGAUA
Molecule: ribosomal RNA, 556 nt
Filed under: uncultured bacterium
Lineage: Bacteria
Description: bacterial SSU rRNA
Rfam family: Bacterial small subunit ribosomal RNA
Source: RNAcentral